This 373-nucleotide ribosomal RNA is filed under the name uncultured organism. RNAcentral describes it as "partial 16S ribosomal RNA". It matches the Rfam family "Bacterial small subunit ribosomal RNA", at positions 527 to 896 of the family's 1533-position model. The record is from RNAcentral.
GUAGGUGGCGAGCGUUGUCCGGAAUUAUUGGGCGUAAGGCGCACGCAGGCGGUUCUUUAAGUCUGAUGUGAAAGCCCACGGGCUCAACCGUGGAGGGUCAUUGGAAACUGGAGAACUUGAGUACAGAAGAGGAAAGCGGAAUUCCACGUGUAGCGGUGAAAUGCGUAGAGAUGUGGAGGAACGCCAGUGGCGAAGGCGGCUUUCUGGUCUGUAACUGACGCUGAGGCGCGAAAGCGUGGGGAGCAAACAGGAUUAGAUACCCUGGUAGUCCACGCCGUAAACGAUGAGUGCUAAGUGUUAGGGGGUUUCCGCCCCUUAGUGCUGCAGCUAACGCAUUAAGCACUCCGCCUGGGGAGUACGGCCGCAAAGGCUG